AUUGAACGCUGGCGGCAUGCCUUACACAUGCAAGUCGAACGGUAACGCGGGGCAACCUGGCGACGAGUGGCGAACGGGUGAGUAAUGCAUCGGAACGUGCCCAGUAGUGGGGGAUAGCCCGGCGAAAGCCGGAUUAAUACCGCAUACGACCUACGGGUGAAAGGGGGGGAUCGCAAGACCUCUCGCUAUUGGAGCGGCCGAUGUCAGAUUAGGUAGUUGGUGGGGUAAAGGCCUACCAAGCCGACGAUCUGUAGCUGGUCUGAGAGGACGACCAGCCACACUGGGACUGAGACACGGCCCAGACUCCUACGGGAGGCAGCAGUGGGGAAUUUUGGACACUGGGCGAAAGCCUGAUCCAGCAAUGCCGCGUGCAGGAAGAAGGCCUUCGGGUUGUAAACUGCUUUUGUACGGAGCGAAAAGGUCUCCUCUAAUACAGGGGGCUCAUGACGGUACCGUAAGAAUAAGCACCGGCUAACUACGUGCCAGCCGCCGCAGUAA
RNAcentral lists this ribosomal RNA (498 nucleotides) under uncultured bacterium. RNAcentral's name for it is "partial 16S ribosomal RNA". It matches the Rfam family "Bacterial small subunit ribosomal RNA", at positions 29 to 523 of the family's 1533-position model. The record is from RNAcentral.